This 468-nucleotide ribosomal RNA is filed under the name uncultured bacterium. Its description in RNAcentral is "partial 16S ribosomal RNA". It matches the Rfam family "Bacterial small subunit ribosomal RNA", at positions 28 to 507 of the family's 1533-position model. The record is from RNAcentral.
GACGAACGCUGGCGGCGUGCUUAACACAUGCAAGUCGAACGGAAAGGCCCUGCUUUUGUGGGGUGCUCGAGUGGCGAACGGGUGAGUAACACGUGAGUAACCUGCCCUUGACUUUGGGAUAACUUCAGGAAACUGGGGCUAAUACCGGAUAGGAGCUCCUGCUGCAUGGUGGGGGUUGGAAAGUUUCGGCGGUUGGGGAUGGACUCGCGGCUUAUCAGCUUGUUGGUGGGGUAGUGGCUUACCAAGGCUUUGACGGGUAGCCGGCCUGAGAGGGUGACCGGGCACAUUGGGACUGAGAGACGGACCAGACUGCUACGGGAGGCAGAAGUGGGGAAUAUUGCACAAUGGGCGGAAGCCUGAUGCAGCAACGCCGCGUGCGGGAUGACGGCCUUCGGGUUGUAAACCGCUUUCGCCUGUGACGAAGCGUGAGUGACGGUAAUGGGUAAAGAAGCACCGGCUAACUACGUG